UUUUUGCACCUCCCAUGGAAGCUUGCUUUGAAACUUCCAUAAAUUUCCUUGAGUUAACCCCGAUUUUCAUGUUUUUGUGCACCCUUUCACAAAGUUCUUUGUGCUCUUUUACUUUUUCACCAUAAAACCCUCAAAAACCUUUCCUUAUUACACUCUCUCACUAGCUGGACGUUCUAGAGAGAGAAAGUGAGAUUUUCAUGAUAGUUUGAAAGC
This 213-nucleotide long non-coding RNA is filed under the name Theobroma cacao (cacao). RNAcentral's name for it is "long non-coding RNA (TCAC_LNC006473)". Lineage: Eukaryota; Viridiplantae; Streptophyta; Magnoliopsida; Malvales; Malvaceae. The record is from RNAcentral.